Molecule: ribosomal RNA, 492 nt
Filed under: uncultured bacterium
Lineage: Bacteria
Description: partial 16S ribosomal RNA
Rfam family: Bacterial small subunit ribosomal RNA
Source: RNAcentral
AGUGAACGCUGGCGGUAGGCCUAACACAUGCAAGUCGAACGGCAGCACAGUAAGAGCUUGCUCUUACGGGUGGCGAGUGGCGGACGGGUGAGGAAUACAUCGGAAUCUACUUUUUCGUGGGGGAUAACGAAGGGAAACUUACGCUAAUACCGCAUACGACCUACGGGUUAAAGCAGGGGAUCUUCGGACCUUGCGCGAUUGAAUGAGCCGAUGUCGGAUUAGCUAGUUGGCGGGGUAAAGGCCCACCAAGGCGACGAUGCGUAGCUGGUCUGAGAGGAUGAUCAGCGACACUGGAACUGAGACACAGUCCAGACUCCUACGGGAGGCAGCAGUGGGGAAUAUUGGACAAAGGGCGCAAGCCUGAUCCAGCCAUACCGCGUGGGUGAAGAAGGCCUUCGGGUUGUAAAGCCCUUUUGUUGGGAAAGAAAAGCAGCAGGUUAAUACCCCGCUGUUCUGACGGUACCCAAAGAAUAAGCACCGGCUAACUUCGUG